GCGGCCUAUCAGCUUGUUGGUGAGGUAAUGGCUCACCAAGGCAACGACGGGUAGCCGGCCUGAGAGGGCGACCGGCCACACUGGGACUGAGACACGGCCCAGACUCCUACGGGAGGCAGCAGUGGGGAAUAUUGGGCAAUGGAGGAAACUCUGACCCAGCGACGCCGCGUGCGGGAUGAAGGCCUUCGGGUUGUAAACCGCUUUCAGUAGGGAAGAAGCGAAAGUGACGGUACCUACAGAAGAAGCACCGGCUAACUAUGUGCCGGCAGCCGCGGUAAUACAUAGGGUGCAAGCGUUGUCCGGAAUUAUUGGGCGUAAAGAGCUCGUAGGUGGUUCGUUACGUCGGAUGUGAAAAUCUGGGGCUCAACCCCAGACCUGCAUCCGAUACGGUCGAGCUAGAGUUUGGUAGGGGAGACUGGAAUUCCU
Molecule: ribosomal RNA, 426 nt
Filed under: uncultured Actinomycetes bacterium
Lineage: Bacteria; Bacillati; Actinomycetota; Actinomycetes
Description: bacterial SSU rRNA
Rfam family: Bacterial small subunit ribosomal RNA
Source: RNAcentral